This 230-nucleotide ribosomal RNA is filed under the name uncultured bacterium. RNAcentral describes it as "partial 16S ribosomal RNA". It matches the Rfam family "Bacterial small subunit ribosomal RNA", at positions 109 to 339 of the family's 1533-position model. The record is from RNAcentral.
AGUAACACGUAAGCAACCUGCCCUUAAGUGAGGAAUAACUCUGAGAAAUCGGAGCUAAUACCCCAUGUGAUGGUGAAGGUAAUGCUUCAUCAUUAAAGCCUUCGGGCGCUUAUGGAGGGGCUUGCGUCUGAUUAGCUAGUUGGUAGGGUAACGGCCUACCAAGGCUGUGAUCGGUAGCUGGUUUGAGAGGAUGAUCAGCCACACUGGGACUGAGAUACGGCCCAGACUCC